Molecule: long non-coding RNA, 1200 nt
Organism: Chelonia mydas (Green sea turtle)
Lineage: Eukaryota; Metazoa; Chordata; Testudines; Cheloniidae
Exons: 3
Source: RefSeq, a predicted model, not a curated record
GUCCUGCCUGUCUGUGCUGAGCGAAUUGUCUCUUGAAAGAGCCUUGACCUCUGAACUGUGGGAGAAAUGCAGCCGGCCCAGCAGAGCAGACAGCCCUGGGCGGAAGCUGCAGGGAAUUUCAGGUGGUUUGUGGGCAGCCAAUGCCCGCUGCUCUUGGAGGCCCGCCCGUGGAAAUAUUCAGCCGUAGGGAUCAGAAAUUGAGACACAAGCGAGGGAGGCACCUGUGGUGAGCUGUGUCUUGUCACCAUAGCAACUGCAUCCCGGUUGAGCCUGGCAUGGACUUGAGGGUGAUGCUAAAAACUGUCUGGUUCAGACACCCAGGCCCUUUGGCUGUGGACAACUCUGCUGCUGGGAUGGCUCUGGGGAGUCUCUGGAACUUUAAAUCCUGACUAGAGGAUUUGGGGAACUUCUGCCAGCCCCAAACUUCAUCCCCUGGGAAGCAGCUAACAAGGCGCAGGAGUGACCUGAAGCCCAAUGCCCUUGGGCCAGCCCACCCUGGUACAGAUGGCAAUCCCGGGAGUCAGGCUGACACGGAGCUGUGCUCUUUCUCUCUGUCCUGACCUCGCGGUGUGAGCACUAGGGGUGCCAAUCAGGGGAGCGGAGAGACCACCCAGGCUGACUUCCCCACCAUGGGGUUAAUCUUGGCAUGCCCCAUGCAAUGGGAGCUGGUUAAUGGGCCUGAAACCCCUGCCCUGCAGUGGCGCUAGAAUCAGAUACAGCCUGCCAGCGGGACAGCCAGGCAGACCAAAGUGCCCCAUCCCUGCCCAGAGAGCUCUGGUCCUGCAAGAGGUGUGGAGCACCUCGAUUUCCUAUUGACUGCACUCAGCAGCUUGCAGGAUCCGGGUGAGAACGGACAAAGCACUGACAGCAGCAGGGCCAGCUCCCCCGGCCCCCCCCCCAAGUGGCUCAUCUCUGACCAGCAGGGAUGAGUCAGUCUGAGUCCACCGGGCCCUCCGUGCCUCUUCAUGGAUUCUCCUGAGCCCCUUGGCUCAUUCCUUAUAAGCCUCACAGCGGCCACUGUCCUGUUGAUCCAGGCUAGAUUCAAACAGGUGCCCUCCCCACCAGGAAACUUUAUCUCCUCUUCCUGCAUUGUCCUCAGUUAUCCUUGGUGCAAUGCCAGGAAUUGGAGAACUCCCCCAUUCCCUCCCUUCCACCCCAGUGAAAACCACCUGUCCUGCUUUCUAGGGUGUGGUGUCUUCU